Molecule: unclassified non-coding RNA, 257 nt
Filed under: Borreliella burgdorferi (Lyme disease spirochete)
Lineage: Bacteria; Pseudomonadati; Spirochaetota; Spirochaetia; Spirochaetales; Borreliaceae
Description: partial miscellaneous RNA
Source: RNAcentral
CUGCGAGUUCGCGGGAGAGUAGGUUAUUGCCAGGGUUUUUAUUUUUAUACUUUAAACUUUGAUUUUAUUUUUAUGUUUUUUAAAUAUUGGUGUUUUUGAAUGUGUUGUUUAAAUAACAUAAAAAAUAAAAUAUAUAUAUUGACAUGCAUUAAACAAAGAUAUAUAUUAUUUUAUGUUGUAUAAAUAAAUUGGCAAAAUAGAGAUGGAAGAUAAAAAUAUGGUCAAAGUAAUAAGAGUCUAUGGUGAAAUGCCUAGGA